AAUACAUCGGGACCUACCUAGACGUGGGGGAUAACGUAGGGAAACUUACGCUAAUACCGCCAUACGUCCUACGGGCGAAAGCGGGGGAUCUUCGGACCUCGCGCGGUUAGACGGCCGAUGAUUCGAUUAGCUAGUUGGUGGGGCUAACGGCUUACGGAAGGCGACGAUCGAUAGCUGGUCUGAGAGGAUGAUCAGCCACACUGGGACUGAGA
This 212-nucleotide ribosomal RNA is filed under the name uncultured Gammaproteobacteria bacterium. RNAcentral describes it as "partial 16S ribosomal RNA". It matches the Rfam family "Bacterial small subunit ribosomal RNA", at positions 113 to 324 of the family's 1533-position model. The record is from RNAcentral. Lineage: Bacteria; Pseudomonadati; Pseudomonadota; Gammaproteobacteria.